This 253-nucleotide ribosomal RNA is filed under the name uncultured Eubacteriales bacterium. RNAcentral's name for it is "uncultured Clostridiales bacterium partial 16S ribosomal RNA". It matches the Rfam family "Bacterial small subunit ribosomal RNA", at positions 524 to 776 of the family's 1533-position model. Lineage: Bacteria; Bacillati; Bacillota; Clostridia; Eubacteriales. The record is from RNAcentral.
UACGUAGGGGGCAAGCGUUAUCCGGAUUUACUGGGUGUAAAGGGAGCGUAGACGGCAUAGCAAGUCUGAAGUGAAAGCCCGCGGCCCAACCGCGGAACUGCUUUGGGAACUGUUUUGCUGGAGUAUGGGAGGGGUAAGCGGAAUUCCUGGUGUAGCGGUGAAAUGCGUAGAUAUCAGGAGGAACACCGGUGGCGAAGGCGGCUUACUGGACCAUAACUGACGUUGAGGCUCGAAAGCGUGGGGAGCGAACAGG